This 438-nucleotide long non-coding RNA is filed under the name Ananas comosus (pineapple). RNAcentral describes it as "long non-coding RNA (ACOM_LNC043246)". Lineage: Eukaryota; Viridiplantae; Streptophyta; Magnoliopsida; Poales; Bromeliaceae. The record is from RNAcentral.
UCCUCCAUCAUCUCUCUAGUUCUUUAAGACAGUAAAGAGGGUAACGCCGUGUCCUCUUCCUCUCAUUUUUUUUUCUCUCGUUCAUUUUUUUUUCUUCGAACCUCCUCCACCGUCUCCGCUCGCACCCUCUUCCUCUCUUUUUUUUUCUCUUCACCCUUGCCCACACACUCCCCCCGGCCUUCCUCACCUCCAACCAUGCCAAUGCUGCGCCGCGACCUUUUUUUUUUCCUCUCCGACCCUCCUCCAUCGCCUCUCCGGUUCUUUAUGACAAUAAAGAGGGUAACGUCGCGUCCUCUUCCUCUCCUUUUUUUCUCUCGUUCUUUUUUUUUUUCUCUUCGACCCCCUCCAUCGCCUCCGCGACCCUCUACGACAGUAACGAAGACAAUGUUCACGUCCUCUUACACCGCCUUCGUCGGCGCAGACAUCGACACCGGCGCC